RNAcentral lists this ribosomal RNA (253 nucleotides) under uncultured bacterium. Its description in RNAcentral is "partial 16S ribosomal RNA". It matches the Rfam family "Bacterial small subunit ribosomal RNA", at positions 524 to 776 of the family's 1533-position model. The record is from RNAcentral.
UAGGAGAGGGGCUAGCGUUGUUCGGAAUUACUGGGCGGAAAGCGCACGUAGGCGGACUAUCAAGUUGGGGGUGAAAUCCCGGGGCUCAACCUCGGAACUGCCUCCAAAGCUGUUAGUCUAGAGGAUGUGAGAGGAUAGUGGAAUUCCGAGUGUAGAGGUGAAAUUCGUAGAUAUUCGGAAGAACACCGGUGGCGAAGGCGACUGUCUGGCACAUUUCUGACGCUGAGGUGCGAAAGCGUGGGGAGCAAACAGG